Molecule: ribosomal RNA, 484 nt
Filed under: uncultured bacterium
Lineage: Bacteria
Description: partial 16S ribosomal RNA
Rfam family: Bacterial small subunit ribosomal RNA
Source: RNAcentral
AUUGAACGCUGGCGGCAGGCCUAACACAUGCAAGUCGAGCGGAUGAAGGGAGCUUGCUCCUGUAUUCAGCGGCGGACGGGUGAGUAAUUCCUAGGAAUCUGCCUUGUCUUUGGGGAUAACGUCCGUAAACGGGCGCUAAUACCGCAUACGUCCUGAUGUAGAAAGUGGUGGAUCUUCGGACCUCACGCUAUCUGAUGAGCCUAGGUCGGAUUAGCUAGUUGGUGGGGUAAAGGCCUACCAAGGCGACGAUCCGUAACUGGUCUGAGAGGAUGAUCAGUCACACUGGAACUGAGACACGGUCCAGACUCCUACGGGAGGCAGCAGUGGGGAAUAUUGGACAAUGGGCGAAAGCCUGAUCCAGCAAUGCCGCGUGUGUGAAGAAGGUCUUCGGAUUGUAAAGCACUUUAAGUUGGGAGGAAGGGAAGUAAGAUAAUACCUUGCUGUUUUGACGUUACCAACAGAAUAAGCACCGGCUAACUUCGUG